UUACUCCUUAAGAGGUACAUAAAAGAUUUCUGCAUCAACUAUAUUACUUUUGAUGUUUGAGUUGUAACGAUAUUGCAGCUAAUUUGCAUAUUAUGAUAUAGGUCAUACUUUUCGUAUUAUUCAUAGCUGAAUUAUAAUUAUAAAUAUUUUAAAUAGAUUAUUUGUCAUAAUUUUGUGAUUUUAAUGUAAUUUUUAUAAUUAUUUUUAUUUUAUACUAUCUUAAAAUUCUUGAAAUUAGUAAAAUUUAAAGAUCCAUGGGACUUACGCCCCACGUCUCAGGGCUUACACCUCGCCUCACGCUCCCGCCUUUUAAAACAUUGGUAAUUAGCAGCUUUCUAGUCGCCACUACCCCCAAAACAAAACAGGUUUUCCUAUUUGAAGUGCAUAACUAAUUCAACUACGAAAGCCCCUCAGCCAUAAUCAACAUGACAAUUAAGCUCUGAAAAGUUUAAGUUUAAUUAGUUGAGUUUCUUUUUCUUUUUCUGAUAUUGGAAAAAUCGCCUCCGGACCAACUUUGAGACCUCGGCAUCACUUUGUGAGGUAUCCUGUAACUCCGGGGGAUUAUGGGCCCGCCCCUCUACCCUCUUCCCAACUCAAAAUACUCUAGUUUCUUAUGGUUACAGAUUGCAGUAUCCCCUUAUGUUCUUUAGUAAAGGUAGAUUUUGCACUUUCCUAGAUGCACAGAUACUUUCUUACAUCAACUUCUAAAGCCAACAAUUAACCCUGUUAAUCAAUAAUGAUAAAAGCAUGGUAACAACAUUUCUUUUUGGGAAAAGGUCCAGAUUUGCCCCUCUACUAUUGUAUAUUGUUUACAUGUGUCCCCCGUUAUACUUUUCGUCCAUUUCCGCCCCUGCCGUUAACAAACUUUUCAGAUUUGCCCCUAACCCUAAUAGCCCUACACUGUAGCAGCUGACCCCUUAAAUUUUUUCUCAUGUCAGCUACCAAGUCAGAUGACACUAUGUCAUUCACCACAUUAUGAGUCAAGAUAUGGGGCCAUUCACCAAUCCCUAAUUUUAAUACCUGAUUCCCAUUUAAAAUCCACUAUUUUCCAAUCUAUACCCACCUAGUCCCCUCCAAAUCUGUUCAUUUUCCAUUUUUACUUCUAUUUUUAUUUCAUUUUCUUCCUCUUUUUCUUUACAUCUCUUUCUUCCUCAUCAAAACACCACGUCAUCUCCUUCACACCAUUUUCACCAGAACAAGAAAAUUAAACAAACAAUCUAAGCCAAAAUGAAAUAACAUGAUAGUAAAUUGAAUUUUUAAAUUUUGAAUUAAAUUCAUGUGUUCGUUGCUGGGUCAGAUUCAAGUAAGAGACUUGGAAGUCCAUUAUCGAAAAUUUAAAGCCUCAUCCUGGGUUGGGAUUUUCUGCAUAUGAGGUUGAAUUAAACUUUAAGGAUUGAUUUGGUAACUGUAGUAGGAUUGAAAUUUUUUAAAACCCAGUUGAAAAUUAGCAUUAAAUGUGAUUCAUCGGCUUCACCAUUGUUGAACUUUAAAAGUUCCAGAUUUGAAUAUUUCUUUUGAACUGGUAGCAGUUUGAAAAAUUUGUAUCAAUCUUGUGAGAAUCAUUUCUUGAAUUAAGGAAAGAAAGUAAAAUUAAAAAAGGAAUAAAAAAGAAAAAAUGGUUAGAAAAAUAAAUGAAAGAUUCUGGGGGAAUGAAGGGUGCUGGGGGUGAUGAGGACGACGCGUGUGGUGGUGUGGGGGAGGGGUCUAAGGCAGAUUAAAGUCCCUUCCUUUCCACUUGUUUGUUUCUACGUGCAGCUUUUUAUUUUUUUAAUAUGACAUAGCAGCUGACAUGGAAAAAAAUUGGAGGGGUCAGCUGCUACAGUGUAAGGCCGUUAGGGUUAGGGGCAAAUCUGAAAAGUUUGUUAACGGCAGGGGCGGAAAUGGACGAAAAGUAUAACGGGGACACAUGUAAACAAUAUACUAUAGUAGAGGGGUAAAUCCAGA
This 1944-nucleotide long non-coding RNA is filed under the name Nicotiana tabacum (common tobacco). RNAcentral describes it as "long non-coding RNA (NTAB_LNC001983)". Lineage: Eukaryota; Viridiplantae; Streptophyta; Magnoliopsida; Solanales; Solanaceae. The record is from RNAcentral.